RNAcentral lists this ribosomal RNA (650 nucleotides) under uncultured bacterium. RNAcentral describes it as "bacterial SSU rRNA". It matches the Rfam family "Bacterial small subunit ribosomal RNA", at positions 60 to 676 of the family's 1533-position model. The record is from RNAcentral.
AGUCGAACGAAACUUCUUUAUCACCGAGUGCUUGCACUCACCGAUAAAGAGUUGAGUGGCGAACGGGUGAGUAACACGUGGGCAACCUGCCCAAAAGAGGGGGAUAACACUUGGAAACAGGUGCUAAUACCGCAUAACCAUAGUUACCGCAUGGUAACUAUGUAAAAGGUGGCUAUGCUACCGCUUUUGGAUGGGCCCGCGGCGCAUUAGCUAGUUGGUGGGGUAAAGGCUUACCAAGGCAAUGAUGCGUAGCCGAACUGAGAGGUUGAUCGGCCACAUUGGGACUGAGACACGGCCCAAACUCCUACGGGAGGCAGCAGUAGGGAAUCUUCCACAAUGGGCGAAAGCCUGAUGGAGCAACGCCGCGUGGGUGAAGAAGGUCUUCGGAUCGUAAAACCCUGUUGUUAGAGAAGAAAGUGCGUGAGAGUAACUGUUCACGUUUCGACGGUAUCUAACCAGAAAGCCACGGCUAACUACGUGCCAGCAGCCGCGGUAAUACGUAGGUGGCAAGCGUUAUCCGGAUUUAUUGGGCGUAAAGGGAACGCAGGCGGUCUUUUAAGUCUGAUGUGAAAGCCUUCGGCUUAACCGGAGUAGUGCAUUUGGAAACUGGGAGACUUGAGUGCAGAAGAGGAGAGUGGAACUCCAUGUGU